RNAcentral lists this transfer RNA (66 nucleotides) under Sinosolenaia oleivora. RNAcentral describes it as "tRNA-Asp". It matches the Rfam family "tRNA". Rfam says of the family: Transfer RNA (tRNA) molecules are approximately 80 nucleotides in length. Their secondary structure includes four short double-helical elements and three loops (D, anti-codon, and T loops). Further hydrogen bonds mediate the characteristic L-shaped molecular structure. tRNAs have two regions of fundamental functional importance: the anti-codon, which is responsible for specific mRNA codon recognition, and the 3' end, to which the tRNAs corresponding amino acid is attached (by aminoacyl-tRNA synthetases). tRNAs cope with the degeneracy of the genetic code in two manners: having more than one tRNA (with a specific anti-codon) for a particular amino acid; and 'wobble' base-pairing, i.e. permitting non-standard base-pairing at the 3rd anti-codon position. The record is from RNAcentral. Lineage: Eukaryota; Metazoa; Mollusca; Bivalvia; Unionida; Unionidae.
AGAAAGUUAGUUUAGGCUAGAAUUUAGGGUUGUCAACCCUGAGGGGCUAGUUAUUAGCACUUUCUU